RNAcentral lists this ribosomal RNA (429 nucleotides) under Pseudomonadota bacterium. RNAcentral's name for it is "Proteobacteria bacterium partial 16S ribosomal RNA". It matches the Rfam family "Bacterial small subunit ribosomal RNA", at positions 355 to 776 of the family's 1533-position model. Lineage: Bacteria; Pseudomonadati; Pseudomonadota. The record is from RNAcentral.
UGGGGAAUAUUGGACAAUGGGCGAAAGCCUGAUCCAGCCAUGCCGCGUGUGUGAAGAAGGUCUUCGGAAUGUAAAGCACUUUAAGUUGGGAGGAAGGGCAGUAAGCGAAUACCUUGCUGUUUUGACGUUACCGACAGAAUAAGCACCGGCUAACUCUGUGCCAGCAGCCGCGGUAAUACAGAGGGUGCAAGCGUUAAUCGGAAUUACUGGGCGUAAAGCGCGCGUAGGCGGCUAAUUAAGUCAAAUGUGAAAUCCCCGAGCUUAACUUGGGAAUUGCAUUCGAUACUGGUUAGCUAGAGUGUGGGAGAGGAUGGUAGAAGUCCAGGUGUAGCGGUGAAAUGCGUAGAGAUCUGGAGGAAUACCGAUGGCGAAGGCAGCCAUCUGGCCUAACACUGACGCUGAGGUGCGAAAGCAUGGGGAGCAAACAGG